UUUUUUAAGUGUCAACUCUGUGCUAGACUUAAUUUCUGCGUAUAAAUUACUAAGAAAAAUAGUUGUAUUUUCUGUCACCAGUAGAGCUCAUAGUCCAACGUGAGUGUGACAGACAAUAAGCAAGAAAAAUGUGAAAAAUUAUAAAGUGAAAAGUGCUUCAAAUGAAUCCAACAUGUUAACAAUCUCUCCUUAUUCCCAUCACGUUCGCUGAAGCUUGAGUUGCAGGUUCUGCCACUUAAUGUAAAUUUGCCUUGAAUUUGAGACCCAAAUAAUCCUGGCAUCUUCUGAUUGCAGAAUCUACACUUACACAGCUAGGAUCUUUGAAAGACGCUUCAAGAUGAGAAAUUUAUGAGAAGACUGAGCAGGACUGUGGACAUCUCUUAGGUCUCCUGAUGUUCAAAGCAUAUUAUGUGUAGGAUAUGUUUGGAAAUAGGUACAGCCCUGUAAUUCUCUCUUUCUCUAACAAACUUCAAGAUGCAUUUUUGAACACUGUGUUCCAUUUAUUUUGUUUUCAUGGUGCGUACAUUCAAGGUUUCCAGUUUCUGGAACCUCUGAGGAAUGUCGUACUUUGGCACUUUAAGUGGCCCUCGUGAACUCCCAGUUAAGAAGAAAGGAAAAAGCUAACAGAAAAGCAGAAAAACAGCUCAAACCAAUGAGCGAGAGCCAAACAGCACCCAAGGCCAGUUUAGAUUUGCAGGCUCUUGAGUAGCUGGUUCUCAACGGCGUUUUUAAGUUAUUCCCUGUUAUAAAGUCUUGGUGAAAGCCCUUGCUUGGUCUCAGUUCUGCUGCUGGGUUAUUAGUGGCCAGACCCCUUGGGGCGUGGGGGCGAUAUCUUGCAAGCCAACAGCAAGAGGCAGCAGAACUGAUGAGUUCUGAGGGGCUGGGUCCUGGGCACACAAGAGAAAGAUCCCGGGGAAAUGCUCCAGAGAGCUGUGGGACCUCUUUGAGGUGGGCAAAUUUCUGGAAAUUGGGAAGUAUAACCUUGUUUUGUUGUCAUGGGCUAUUGAGGCUAGAGAUUCUUAGUAUAGAUAUAAUUUCCUUCUUCUUUCCAAAAUUCCUCCUCUACAGUAUGUUUGGGAAAGGCAUCAUUAUCAACUCCCCCUCGCAUUUCGCUGAGUUUGGUUUCAUAAUUUCCCCAAGGUCACAACGCAGACGUGGAAUGCCAGCCUUCCUGCUUGAGGUGCCAUGUGCGACGUGAACCGUCCUACAACUUUGAUUCCUUUAUGUUGUCCUUGCUCUUUUCCAAGAUGGCAGCCAAGAGUAUGAGGAGAGAGACCUGCCCCUAAAUUUGAAACGAUGGACAACUUGACCCUGAAAAAGCCUUGCUGUAAUUGAAAAUCCUGUUUGCUGUCCAAAGGGUGAGUGGUUUGUAACUAAUGAAACACCACCAAGAGUAGAAGCAACUUAUAUACCAAGAACAUUUGGAUUUGUAGAAGUUUUCGACACAUAGACUUCACUACAGUGCAAAUUUAUAACCCAAGCGAAGCAAGAAACUGAAUUACUUAUUUGUCUAGGCAAGUCAAAUCAACAAUUUAAUUCUAAAAACCAGUAAUUUGGAGCUGAUGUGUUCACACAAGAUCCUAUGUAUGUAGAUGUGUUACAUUCUCUGCAUGGAACCUACUUAUAUAAAUUAGGCUGCAUAGAUUAUCUUGCUAUUUUAUUAUUAUUACUUUAAUUCUGAGAUUCCUCAAAAUUUUCUUUACUAAAUUUGAAUCUAAAUUCUUUUAGCUCUUUAAAAUAUAACUGAAGCUUUCAUAGUAUCAUCACAGAGAGCAUUAUUUGAAAGCCUAAAAAUUUAGUUCAGUCAUUUCAAAAGAAGAUUUUAAUGGGGACUUAUUUCUUGGUAAAUUUGACAUUCUGAAAUAGAAACUAUUUUAACAUUUUUCAUGAGUCUCAAGUGGUAUAAUGUCAGGGGUGCCAUU
Molecule: long non-coding RNA, 1922 nt
Filed under: Equus caballus (horse)
Lineage: Eukaryota; Metazoa; Chordata; Mammalia; Perissodactyla; Equidae
Description: lncRNA (ENSECAG00000031698.3)
Source: RNAcentral